GAUGAACACUGGCGGCGUGCCUAAUACAUGCAAGUCGAGCGAACAGACGAGGAGCUUGCUCCUCUGACGUUAGCGGCGGACGGGUGAGUAACACGUGGAUAACCUACCUAUAAGACUGGGAUAACUUCGGGAAACCGGAGCUAAUACCGGAUAAUAUAUUGAACCGCAUGGUUCAAUAGUGAAAGACGGUUUUGCUGUCACUUAUAGAUGGAUCCGCGCCGCAUUAGCUAGUUGGUAAGGUAACGGCUUACCAAGGCAACGAUGCGUAGCCGACCUGAGAGGGUGAUCGGCCACACUGGAACUGAGACACGGUCCAGACUCCUACGGGAGGCAGCAGUAGGGAAUCUUCCGCAAUGGGCGAAAGCCUGACGGAGCGACGCCGCGUGAGUGAUGAAGGUCUUCGGAUCGUAAAACUCUGUUAUUAGGGAAGAACAAAUGUGUAAGUAACUAUGCACGUCUUGACGGUACCUAAUCAGAAAGCCACGGCUAACUACGUG
RNAcentral lists this ribosomal RNA (497 nucleotides) under uncultured bacterium. RNAcentral describes it as "partial 16S ribosomal RNA". It matches the Rfam family "Bacterial small subunit ribosomal RNA", at positions 28 to 507 of the family's 1533-position model. The record is from RNAcentral.